GAGGGUGUAGCUCAGUGGUAGAGCACAUGCUUAGCAUGCACAAGGUCCUGGGUUCGAUCCCCAGUACCUCCA
RNAcentral lists this transfer RNA (72 nucleotides) under Camelus bactrianus (Bactrian camel). It matches the Rfam family "tRNA". Rfam says of the family: Transfer RNA (tRNA) molecules are approximately 80 nucleotides in length. Their secondary structure includes four short double-helical elements and three loops (D, anti-codon, and T loops). Further hydrogen bonds mediate the characteristic L-shaped molecular structure. tRNAs have two regions of fundamental functional importance: the anti-codon, which is responsible for specific mRNA codon recognition, and the 3' end, to which the tRNAs corresponding amino acid is attached (by aminoacyl-tRNA synthetases). tRNAs cope with the degeneracy of the genetic code in two manners: having more than one tRNA (with a specific anti-codon) for a particular amino acid; and 'wobble' base-pairing, i.e. permitting non-standard base-pairing at the 3rd anti-codon position. Lineage: Eukaryota; Metazoa; Chordata; Mammalia; Artiodactyla; Camelidae. The record is from Rfam by way of RNAcentral. RNAcentral also lists the same sequence under 1 other name.